GCUGCACGGAGUUCAUUUUGGAAUUGCAGGCAUCUUUCCAGCUUUCUGUACACUAAUUACUGCAACCAAAACUACAAGAAGAAUGACUGACAGAGAAGCAAAGGCAAACUGCAAAAGGCAAACAGCAGCGUGGACAUGUUGUUUUGGGCACCUGGAGCAGCUGGCUGAAAGGGUCUCUGGGCUGGAACCCAGAGGAGCGGCUGGGCGUGGCUUCCCCUACCAGCCCAAAGAGGGUGGGGAUAUGAAGACACCAGAGCCAAGGGCUGACAGG
Long non-coding RNA from Mauremys reevesii (Reeves's turtle), 271 nucleotides. RefSeq lists it as uncharacterized. The record is from RefSeq and is a predicted model, not a curated record. NCBI's taxonomy places the organism in Eukaryota, Metazoa, Chordata, Testudines, Geoemydidae. The transcript has 3 exons.